RNAcentral lists this transfer RNA (72 nucleotides) under Bos taurus (domestic cattle). It matches the Rfam family "tRNA". Rfam says of the family: Transfer RNA (tRNA) molecules are approximately 80 nucleotides in length. Their secondary structure includes four short double-helical elements and three loops (D, anti-codon, and T loops). Further hydrogen bonds mediate the characteristic L-shaped molecular structure. tRNAs have two regions of fundamental functional importance: the anti-codon, which is responsible for specific mRNA codon recognition, and the 3' end, to which the tRNAs corresponding amino acid is attached (by aminoacyl-tRNA synthetases). tRNAs cope with the degeneracy of the genetic code in two manners: having more than one tRNA (with a specific anti-codon) for a particular amino acid; and 'wobble' base-pairing, i.e. permitting non-standard base-pairing at the 3rd anti-codon position. The record is from Rfam by way of RNAcentral. Lineage: Eukaryota; Metazoa; Chordata; Mammalia; Artiodactyla; Bovidae. RNAcentral also lists the same sequence under 5 other names.
UCCCUGGUGGCUCAGACAGUAAAGAAUCUGCCUGCAAUGCAGGAGACCUGGGUUCGAUCCCUAGGUUGGGAA